GUUAUAGUAGCUUAAUUAAAGCAUGGCGCUGAAGACGCUAAAAUGGGACCUAGCCCUCCCCGAUGACA
RNAcentral lists this transfer RNA (68 nucleotides) under Leptobrachella alpina. Its description in RNAcentral is "tRNA-Phe". It matches the Rfam family "tRNA". Rfam says of the family: Transfer RNA (tRNA) molecules are approximately 80 nucleotides in length. The record is from RNAcentral. Lineage: Eukaryota; Metazoa; Chordata; Amphibia; Anura; Megophryidae.